This 301-nucleotide ribosomal RNA is filed under the name uncultured bacterium. Its description in RNAcentral is "partial 16S ribosomal RNA". It matches the Rfam family "Bacterial small subunit ribosomal RNA", at positions 509 to 807 of the family's 1533-position model. The record is from RNAcentral.
CAGUCGCCGCGGUAACACGAAGGGUGCAAGCGUUAAUCGGAAUUACUGGGCGUAAAGCGUGCGUAGGCGGUGAGUUAAGUCUGCUGUGAAAUCCCCGGGCUCAACCUGGGAAUGGCAGUGGAUACUGGCUCGCUAGAGUGUGUCAGAGGAUGGUGGAAUUCCCGGUGUAGCGGUGAAAUGCGUAGAGAUCGGGAGGAACAUCAGUGGCGAAGGCGGCCAUCUGGGACAACACUUACGCUGAGGCACGAAAGCGUGGGGAGCAAACAGGAUUAGAUACCCCGGUAGUCCCUGUCUCUUAUAC